RNAcentral lists this ribosomal RNA (557 nucleotides) under uncultured Pseudomonadota bacterium. Its description in RNAcentral is "bacterial SSU rRNA". It matches the Rfam family "Bacterial small subunit ribosomal RNA", at positions 40 to 616 of the family's 1533-position model. Lineage: Bacteria; Pseudomonadati; Pseudomonadota. The record is from RNAcentral.
CGGCAGGCCUAACACAUGCAAGUCGAACGAGAAGCUUACCUUCGGGUAAGUGGACAGUGGCAGACGGGUGAGUAACGCGUGGGAAUUUACCAAGAGGUACAGGACAACCACUGGAAACGGUGGCUAAUACUGUAUGAGCCCCUUUGAUUGGUUUCAGCUGGGGGAAAGAUUUAUCGCCUUUUGAUGAGCCCGCGUUGGAUUAGUUUGUUGGUGAGGUAACGGCUCACCAAGACGACGAUCUAUAGCUGUUCUGAGAGGAAGAUCAGCCACACUGGGACUGAGACACGGCCCAGACUCCUACGGGAGGCAGCAGUGGGGAAUCUUGUACAAUGGGCGAAAGCCUGAUGCAGCCAUGCCGCGUGAGUGAAGAAGGCCCUAGGGUUGUAAAGCUCUUUCGCCAGGGAAGAUAAUGACGGUACCUGGUAAAGAAGCCCCGGCUAACUCCGUGCCAGCAGCCGCGGUAAUACGGAGGGGGCUAGCAUUGUUCGGAAUUACUGGGCGUAAAGCGCGCGUAGGCGGAUACACAAGUUGGGGGUGAAAUCCCGGAGCUCAACUCC